AUACGUAGGUGGCAAGCGUUGUCCGGAUUUACUGGGUGUAAAGGGUGCGUAGGCGGGGCAGCAAGUUGGAUGUGAAAUCCUCGGGCUCAACUCGAGAACUGCAUUCAAAACUGUUGCUCUUGAGUGCAGUAGAGGCAAGCGGAAUUCCCGGUGUAGCGGUGAAAUGCGCAGAGAUCGGGAGGAACACCAGUGGCGAAGGCGGCUUGCUUGGCUGUUACUGACGCUGAGGCACGAAAGCAUGGGUAGCAAACAGGAUUAGAUACCCUGGUAGUCCAUGCUGUAAACGAUGAUUACUAGGUGUGGGUGGACUGACCCCAUCCGUGCCGGAGUUAACACAUUAAGUAAUCCACCUGGGGAGUACGGCCGCAAGGUUGAAACUCAAAUGAAUUGACGGGG
This 396-nucleotide ribosomal RNA is filed under the name uncultured bacterium. RNAcentral describes it as "partial 16S ribosomal RNA". It matches the Rfam family "Bacterial small subunit ribosomal RNA", at positions 523 to 918 of the family's 1533-position model. The record is from RNAcentral.